This is a long non-coding RNA of Capsicum annuum, 662 nucleotides long. RefSeq lists it as uncharacterized. The transcript has 2 exons. The record is from RefSeq and is a predicted model, not a curated record. NCBI's taxonomy places the organism in Eukaryota, Viridiplantae, Streptophyta, Magnoliopsida, Solanales, Solanaceae.
UCUUAAACUUCUACCAAACAAACUAAAAAUUUUAAAAACCUCAAACUUAAAUCUUUCUCCACUCUCCAGCUGUGGCUCCCUCCCUUACCAUUUAAAACCAAACCCCAAAAUCUUCCCACCCAAAAUAAAAAUUAAGAAAGCCCAAAAUUUUUCCUCUAAAAUUUUAAAACCUAAUCAGAUAACCUAUUCCUCCUACCACUUUAAACACCUAGAUCCCUUUCCCCUCUUCCCAUUUCUUUCUUUUCUUCGCCCCCUCCCCUCCUCUCCCUCCAUCUUUGUUUAUCUUAGUUUUUGGUUCCAUUUGAAUUUUUAUAUGUAAUGUUUUUCUUAUCAACUUUUUAAUUUUUGUAGAUUUUUACAAUAUGAAAUUCUUCAAGUAGAUGAGGCAUAUUAAUGAAAAAAGAACAGAUAAAUGAAGAAUUGAGACGAAUGCUGAUCAAUUUAAGGUGCAUGCACUUGAAGACCUUGGAAGGAGAGAUAGAGGAAGACUAUCCUGCUUUGAACUCGAAUAAGAUUGUGUAUGAAAAAAAUUGUAUAUUGUGACUAUUCUUAAAAUUGUAAAGCAUAAUUAUAUGUAACUUGAUAAUUGUUUUUGAAUCUCAAAAUUUGUAACCACUUUUUGUAACUUCUAUGACAAACAAAACUAGUGAUUCUUUUUUAAA